CAGCCGCCGCGGUAAUACGUAGGGAGCAAGCGUUGUCCGGAAUUACUGGGUGUAAAGGGAGUGUAGGCGGGAUGGCAAGUCGGAUGUGAAAUUUAUGGGCUCAACCUAUAAACUGCAUUUGAAACUGCUGUUCUUGAGUGAAGUAGAGGCAGGCGGAAUUCCUAGUGUAGCGGUGAAAUGCGUAGAUAUUAGGAGGAACAUCAGUGGCGAAGGCGGCCUGCUGGGCUUUUACUGACGCUGAGGCUCGAAAGCGUGGGUAGCAAACAGGAUUAGAUACCCUGGUAGUCCACGCUGUAAACGAUGAUUACUAGGUGUGGGGGGGCUGACCCCUUCCGUGCCGCAGUUAACACAAUAAGUAAUCCACCUGGGGAGUACGGCCGCAAGGCUGAAACUCAAAGGAAUUGACGGGGGCCCGCACAAGCAGUGGAGUAUGUGGUUUAAUUCGAAGCAACGCGAAAAACCUUACCAGGUCUUGACAUCCUAGGAACCUUUGAGAGAUCAGAGGGUGCCUUCGGGAACCUAGAGACAGGUGGUGCAUGGCC
Molecule: ribosomal RNA, 542 nt
Filed under: uncultured archaeon
Lineage: Archaea
Description: bacterial SSU rRNA
Rfam family: Bacterial small subunit ribosomal RNA
Source: RNAcentral